This 68-nucleotide transfer RNA is filed under the name Phyllodiaptomus tunguidus. Its description in RNAcentral is "tRNA-Trp". Lineage: Eukaryota; Metazoa; Arthropoda; Copepoda; Calanoida; Diaptomidae. The record is from RNAcentral.
AGAAAAUUAAGUUAAAAAACUAUAAAACUUCAAAUUUUAAAUUAAUUCUAUGAAUGGAUUAUUUUCUA